Molecule: ribosomal RNA, 382 nt
Filed under: uncultured eukaryote
Lineage: Eukaryota
Description: partial 18S ribosomal RNA
Rfam family: Eukaryotic small subunit ribosomal RNA
Source: RNAcentral
CAAUAGCGUAUAUUAAAGUUGUUGCGGUUAAAAAGCUCGUAGUUGGAUUUCUGGUAGGAGUGACCGUGCCAGACUUGAUUGUCUGUGUAUUGUGUUGUCUCCAGCCAUCCUUGUGGAGAACUUUUCUUGCAUUAAUUUGUAGGGAUUGGGACCCGCAUCGUUUACUGUGAAAAAAUUAGAGUGUUUAAAGCAGGCAAUCGCUUGAAUACAUUAGCAUGGAAUAAUAAGAUAGGACUUUGGUACUAUUUUGUUGGUUUGCAUACCAAAUUAAUGAUCAACAGGAACAGUUUGAGGAUAUUCGUAUGAACAUGUCAGAGGUGAAAUUCUUGGAUUUUGAUCAGACGAACUACUGCGAANGNAUUUAUNAAGGAUGUUUNCAUUA